This 69-nucleotide transfer RNA is filed under the name Fukomys damarensis (Damara mole-rat). It matches the Rfam family "tRNA". From Rfam's summary of the family: Transfer RNA (tRNA) molecules are approximately 80 nucleotides in length. Their secondary structure includes four short double-helical elements and three loops (D, anti-codon, and T loops). Lineage: Eukaryota; Metazoa; Chordata; Mammalia; Rodentia; Bathyergidae. The record is from Rfam by way of RNAcentral.
GGUGAUGUAGCUCAGUGGUAGAGCAUGUGCUUAGCAUGUUUAAGGUCUUAGGCUCAACCUACAACACCA